GAGGGUAUAGCUCAAGUGGUAGAGCAUAUGCUUAGCAUGCACAAGGUCCCGGGUUCAAUCCCCAGUACCUCCU
Molecule: transfer RNA, 73 nt
Filed under: Camelus bactrianus (Bactrian camel)
Lineage: Eukaryota; Metazoa; Chordata; Mammalia; Artiodactyla; Camelidae
Also listed under: 2 other names
Rfam family: tRNA
About the family: Transfer RNA (tRNA) molecules are approximately 80 nucleotides in length.
Source: Rfam by way of RNAcentral